CAUUGUUAAAUCGUUUUGUUACAUAAAUUCAAAUGUUACGCUUCAUUUGAAUUUACUUUAAUUUGCCGCCUCGGCGAACCGUGUACGCGCACCGGAAGUUUCAAAUCAUCAUUACUCUUUUUCAAGUUGUACUACCAUCUACUCUCGCCUGGAUGUGCAAUAAUUUGAUUUUAUAAUUAAAACACAACGUAUCAUGAAUACAGCGUUGUUUUCGUUUGAUCGUCAGGACGUCGAAAACAGCGGACCAAUAUCGCCGCAAGGAAAAAUUUCAAUCAGGCCACGAGACAUACAAAGAACGAGUACGUAAUAACGGUGGAGAACAAUUUCACGCUACAGUGAAUACAGUUAACAAUUAUUAUAAUUAGAGAUGCAAGGUAAUUAAUUAAAGUAGCAUUGAAUUGAUUAAAAAAAAUUGAUGCAGGUAAUGUUGCGUGUGCCAGGCGCCCCCUUAAUCAGUACCGCCCGUAGUGCAGACCAAGAGAGACGCAUAUUAUUUAACCUUAUUAUUUAUAUUCUUUGAAUGCAUUAUUUCUUUAAUAACAUUACAUUCUAAAGCAUGUAUUUAAUACCUUCAGGUACAAUGCGAUUAACUUAAACAGAGAAGGUAUCGAUACAUCGAUAGCGGGAUAUAAAGUGAAAUUCAAAGCCGUAGAGUAUUAUCCCAGGAUUACGCACACAGAGAGAAUAAUUAUGGGCUUGCGCAGAUCGUCGGUCGGGG
Osmia lignaria (orchard mason bee) is the source of this 718-nucleotide non-coding RNA. Lineage: Eukaryota; Metazoa; Arthropoda; Insecta; Hymenoptera; Megachilidae. The record is from RefSeq and is a predicted model, not a curated record.